Molecule: ribosomal RNA, 497 nt
Filed under: uncultured bacterium
Lineage: Bacteria
Description: partial 16S ribosomal RNA
Rfam family: Bacterial small subunit ribosomal RNA
Source: RNAcentral
GAUGAACGCUGGCGGCGUGCUUAAUACAUGCAAGUCGAGCGAACAGAUGAGGCGCUUGCUCCUCUGACGUUAGCGGCGGAGGGGUGAGUAACACGUGGAUAACCUCCCUAUCAGACUGGUAUAACUUGGGGAAACCGGCGCUAAUACCGUAUAAUCUCUUGCACCACAUGGUUCAAUAGUGAAAGACGGUUGUGCUGUCUCUUCUCGAUGCAUCCGAGCCGCAUUAGCUAGUUGGUAAGGUAACGGCUUACCAAGGGAACGAUGCGUAGCCGACCUGAGAGGGUGAUCGCCCACACUGGAACUGAGCCACGGUCCAGACUCCUACGGGAGGCAGCAGUAGGGAAUCUUCCGCAAUGGGCGAAAGCCUUACGGAGCAACGCCGCGUGAGUGAUGAAAGUCUUCGGAGCGUAAAACUCUGUUAUUAGUGAAAAACAAAUGUGUAAGUAACUAUGCACGUCGUGACGGUACCGGGUCAGAAAGCCACGGCUAACUACGUG